CAGCAGCCGCGGGAAUACGUAGGGUGCAAGCGUUAAUCGGAAUUACUGGGCGUAAAGCGUGCGCAGGCGGCUAUAUAAGUCAGAUGUGAAAUCCCCGGGCUCAACCUGGGAACUGCAUUUGAGACUGUAUGGCUAGAGUGUGUCAGAGGGGGGUAGAAUUCCACGUGUAGCAGUGAAAUGCGUAGAUAUGUGGAGGAAUACCGAUGGCGAGGGCAGCCCCCUGGGAUAACACCGACGCUCAUGCACGAAAGCGUGGGGAGCAAACAGGAUUAGAUACCCCCGUAGUCCCUGUCUCUUAUAC
RNAcentral lists this ribosomal RNA (301 nucleotides) under uncultured bacterium. RNAcentral describes it as "partial 16S ribosomal RNA". It matches the Rfam family "Bacterial small subunit ribosomal RNA", at positions 509 to 807 of the family's 1533-position model. The record is from RNAcentral.